RNAcentral lists this ribosomal RNA (253 nucleotides) under uncultured bacterium. RNAcentral describes it as "partial 16S ribosomal RNA". It matches the Rfam family "Bacterial small subunit ribosomal RNA", at positions 524 to 776 of the family's 1533-position model. The record is from RNAcentral.
UACGUAGGGUGCGAGCGUUAAUCGGAAUUACUGGGCGUAAAGCGUGCGCAGGCGGUUUUGUAAGCCGGAUGUGAAAUCCCCCGGGCUUAACCUGGGAAUGGCAUUCGGGACUGCAAGGCUGGAGUGCGGCAGAGGAGACUGGAAUUCCUGGUGUAGCAGUGAAAUGCGUAGAUAUCAGGAGGAACACCGAUGGCGAAGGCAGGUCUCUGGGCUGACACUGACGCUCAUGCACGAAAGCUGGGGAGCAAACAGG